Molecule: long non-coding RNA, 1019 nt
Filed under: Coturnix japonica (Japanese quail)
Lineage: Eukaryota; Metazoa; Chordata; Aves; Galliformes; Phasianidae
Description: lncRNA (ENSCJPG00005012551.1)
Source: RNAcentral
AUCUAUGACUUUGGCUUUAAAUCCCUUAAAAUUCAGUCUCACCAUAACCCCACUGACACAAAUAUUACAGUUGUGUUUGUGUGAAUCUCUCAUAGAACAAAAAUGAGUAUCUUAAUAGAGAAGCAGAAAUUGAUCCUAAAGCCACAAGAAUAUACCAUACAAGUACUAAAAUUAGUCUAUUUUGCCAUCAAUCUCUAAAAUCAGUGUGUCACUUCUGGUUACCAGGAAUAUUUUAACCACACUUAUUAUUACGUAGACGUUAUUUCCAAGAGCAAAUAACAAAGGUACUGUUAACUCAAACAUCAGCCCAGACCUGUAAUUACAGUGAUUAUCUUCAGUAAUGUAAGUUUUCUGUAGCAACAAAACUUUUGGAUGAUAACUAUUUCUUUUUUCUUUUUUUUUUUUUUUUUUGGCUUCAUAACUAACACACAGGACAACUUAAGACUUUCAUUACACAGAAAAAUGAGGCCAUUAAUAACUCUGCUACAAGCCAUUAAUUAUUAACUUUCACCCUUUUAUAAUUAAAUUUUGUAAAGAUUUUUUUUUAUAGUUGUGAACUUCUCUUUCUUCAAAAUGACCAGAAUUCCUGAAUCAAGCCUCAGCAUUCACUGUUCUUAGUGAAAGAUAAAAUCCUCUGGGGUAACAAAUCUCUGCUGGGAACACUGGCAGCUCACACGUCCCCUCAGGCAGCACUCAGCACAAGAAAGUCAUAGACAUUAAAAACUGAAAACUCUUCAGCCCUAGCCAUCAAGGGCAAGCUGAUCUGCAGCACUUCAAACUACAAAUGUGCAGAACUACUAGUGGAAAUCUCCACUACACAACCCUUAUCUUCAGACACUCUUAGUUUCUCACCAUCCUGUAACAAGAUUUACUGACAGCAGCCUAACGACCAAUUUCAGCUGAGUUUCAUUUGGAUUUAGGCUCUUCUGUGUGUUUUUAUGAACACAAAGAUGGAGUCAUCCUACUGUUAAAAUAAGAGUUUUUGAAUUUUGGAAUCAAGUUUAAAAGCUCUUUCCACU